Molecule: long non-coding RNA, 989 nt
Filed under: Daphnia pulicaria
Lineage: Eukaryota; Metazoa; Arthropoda; Branchiopoda; Diplostraca; Daphniidae
Description: uncharacterized LOC124344268, transcript variant X2
Source: RNAcentral
AUCGGUAGUGACGCCACCAUUUUUGCCAAGACAUUGAGCAAGACAGAGCAGGAUGUCGAUGAAUGUUCAUUCUCAAAUAUUUUGAUGAAUAUUUAAAAGUUCAUUUAGCCUAUUUCCACUUGGCCAAAUCAUCUGGUCACAUGUCUGGCUUGACUGCUGUCCUGCACCCUGCCAAAAUGUCCUCAUUCUCCAUUGCAACGUUUAACAGCCAGGUGAAGUUUGCGCUUCUGCAGUGCUGACUAACAUGGUUUGGUUGCAACCAGCUGUUGAAUGAUGUGGUGAGCCGGUGAGCUGCUUCCAUGCAGUCUGUAAUGUUGGUGUUAUAUCCUGAAAUGUGUUGGUUGUUGUGGACUUGUAACACUACUAUACUUAUUUGUCAUUUGUUGUGACAUUAUUCAGCAUAUAAAAGGUGGCAAUUCCAUCUCAUCAUGUGACCUGAAACUGCUGUACAUUUUCCCAAAAUCACAUGCAGAAAUACUUCAUAACACUGACACACAGUGAAGUCUGAGCUUCUUCAUUUUGCAGUCCAUUGUGCACAUGGACUUGUUGCUGCCAGCUGGUGAAAGGUUUUCCUCUUGCAUGCUUGCUACCUGUACCGAUCAGAUAUCAAAGUUAUUCUGUUGGACUGCGUAGUUUUCUGUUACUCUUUGUAUUCUUUUGUUAUAAUGAGUAUAGCAAACACUUCUUUAAAGCUGGUGGUCACCUUGUUGCAGCCAAAUGGUGAAAGGUGUGACGAAGACAGAUCAUUGAACCGUUGUAUGCAGCAUGCGGCUGCAGUGUAAUCCAGAAGUUGCUGUGCUCUUGUAGCUGAGCUGUUCCAUCUGGGUCCCUGAAUUAACAAUUUUUUUUUUGUCGUUUUUAUCCAUGCCAUGAAAUUGCUGUGCAUUUUGUGUUGCUGACUUUGCUGUGACUUGUUGCGACAUUCUAUUUUGUGCUGCUGACUUUCCUGACAAAAAGUUUGAUCUGUUGUCGUUUGAGUUUUCAUUCAA